AUGCCUUCCUUGCCAAAAGGACAGAUGAUCAGACCUAUCAAGGAUCCUUCUGGUCUAGGGUUCUUAGAGGAUGAAAUGGCUGGCACUUUGGCAGCCUUCAGAAACUUGGUGUGUGAUAACCAGCUUCCAGGUUCUGGAGUACCAAGACCACAUCGUCGAAGCCCUCUCAGCAACAGCCAGCAGACCCUGAAGGCUGUGCAGCGGGAGAACUGGAGGCUGAUGCCCACCCAGAAACCAAAGCUACUGAGGCCGCGCCUGCUGUCUGGUGAGGAGUGUGUGCUGGAUAGCCUGCGCAUCUACCUGCUACCGGAUGGGCGUGAGGAGGGUGCCGGGGGCAGUGCAGGGGGGCCAGCACUGCUCCCAGCUGAGGGCGCCGUCUUCCUCAUCACGUACCACGUCAUCUUCACAGGGAUGCUCACAGACCCCCUGGUGGGGGAGCAGGUGGUGUUCCGCUCCUUCCCGGUGGCCGCGCUGACCAAGGAGAAGUGUAUCAGCGUCCAGACCCCUGUGGACCAGCUCUUGCAGGACGGGCUGCAGCUGCGCUCCUGCACAUUCCAGCUGCUGAAAAUGGCCUUUGAUGACGAGGUGGGGUCUGACAGUGUCGAGCCCUUCUGCAAGCAGCUGCAUAAGCUGCGGUACACGCUGGAUGUCAGGGCCACCUUCUCCUUCACCCUGGGCUCUGCCUACACACUGGGCAGGCCACCCCGUGUCUACACUGGGCAGGCCACCCCGUGUCACCAAGAACAAGGGUCUUUCCCUCAGAACCCUGUCCCAGAACCUGGUUAAGAAUGCUAAGAAGACCAUUUGGCGGCAGCAUGUCGCUCGCAAGAAGUACAACCCCCCAAGCUAGGAGCGCUGGGGCCAGCCCCCUGAGGACCAGGAGGACAAGAUCUCAGUGUCUGAGGAGCUGGAGCCCAGCACGCUGACCCCGUCCUCAGCCCUGGAGCCUUCAGACCGCAUCACCAUGAGCAGCCUCCUGGUGGAAAGGACUUGCCGCGAUUACCAGUACCUCGGCCUGGGCACCCUGAGCAGCCGCCUGAGCUGGGUCAAGUCUGAAUCCUUCUGCAUUUCUCCGGUCAACCGCAUGUAUACCAUCUACUGCAGCUACCCGGGGCUGCUGAUCGCGCCCCAGAGUGUCCAGGACAACGCCCUGCAGCAUGUGUCCCACUGCUACCGCCAGAACUGCUUCCCCGUGGUCUGCUGGGGCAGCGGGCGGUCCAAGGCAAUACUGCUGCGUUCUGGGGGCCUGCAUGGCAUAGGUGUCGUCGGCCUCUUUAAAGCCCAGAACGCACCUUCUCCUCCAGUUCCAGGCGGACUCCAGUAGUGUGGAGCAGAAGAAGUACCUGUAGGCUGUGGUCAGCUCCAUGCCCCGCUACUCCGGUGCAUCCGGAUGCAACACGCUUAGCGGCUUCUCCUCAGCCUACGUGGGCAGCCACAUUCCCAGCCCCAGAGCCAGGGUCACCACACUGUCCAACCCCAUGGCAGCCUCAGCCUCCAGACUGACUGCACCCCGAGGUAAGUGGGGGCAGUGUCGGGAUUAGUGGGCGCAGCAGUGGGCUUGGAGCCAAUGUGGGCACCUGGCUAGCUGGCAGAGACGUGCUGGCCCCACCCCAGGCCAACGGCUGCCCCUUGCCCCCCAACCAGGACUUCCUGUGGCUGCAGCGAGCAGCCCUCUACAUCCUCGGGGACAAAGUCCAACUCAAGAGUGUGAGGCCAGAUCCCCUGCAGCAGUGGGAGCUGGUGCCCACUGAGGUAUUCCAGGAGCGGCAGGUGAAGGCUAGCUUCAAGAAGCUGCUGAAGGCAUGUGUCCCAGGCUGCUCUGCUGCUGAGCCCAGCCUAGCCUCCUUCCUGCCCUUGCUGGAGGACUGGAGUGGCUGAUUCAGAUCCACAAGCUGCUGCAGGUGUUGGUGCUGGUGGGGAGCUCCUGUACUCAAGCUCCUCCGUGCUGAUGGGCCUGGAGGACGGCUGGGCCAUCACCACGCAGGUGGUAUCCUUGGUGCAGCUGCUGUCAGACCCCUUCUACCGCAUGCUGGAGGGGUUCUGCCUGCUGGUGGAGAAGGAGUGGCUGUCCUUCAGUCAUCGCUUCAGCCACUGGAGAGACCACAUUCUGGCUGGACAGAGCAGCAGCUUCACACCAUCUUCCUGUAGUUCCUGGACUGCCUACACCAGGUCCACCUGCAGUUCCCCACGGAGUUUGAGUUCAGCCAGUUCUACCUCAAGUUCCUUGGCUACCACCAUGUGUCUCGCUGUUUCCGGACCUUCCUGCUGGACUCUGACUAUGAGCACAUUGAGCUGGGGCUGUUGUAAGAGAAGGGGCAGCGCAGGGGCCAGCUGCCUUGCAGGUCUGUGUGUGGACCGGAUGAGCAAGAGGAUACCCAUGUUCCACAAUUACAUGCAUGCACCCGAGGACACAGAGGUCCUGCGGACCUACAACAACGUGUCCAGUCUGAAGGUGUAGGACUUCUACACUGAGGAGAUGCUGGCUGAGGGCCCUCCCUAUGACCAGAAACUGGCCCAGGGGCCCCCUGAGCCCCAAAGGAAGAAUGGUCUGAGGGAGGCACUCCCCAGAGCAGGCGCAGUAUGGUGUGGCCUGCUACCACAGCUGCCCCGGAGCCCAGCCUGACGCCAUCUCACGCCUGCUGGAGGAGCUGCAGAGGCUGGAGACAGAGCUGGGCUGACCCGCUGAGCGCUGGAAGGACACCUGGGAACGGAUGAGGCUGCACAGUGCCUCGAAGCCCGGCCAGAUGGACGUGGCACCCCUAGCUGCCUCCUAGCGUCCCCUGCACCCCACCACCGCUGCUCGCUGGUUAUGUACCAGCAGGAGGAACCCCUGGGCUCCACCCUGAGCCUCAGCCUGGAGAGGGACCAGAGAAGUGGCUCGACCGCAUCUGGCUCCCACCAGGCUGCCCACUGCAGCACCAGCACCCUGUACAGCCAGUUCCAGACAGCUGAGAGUGAGAACAGGUCCUAUGAGGGCACUCUGUACAAGAAAGAGGCCUUCAUGAAGCCUUGGAAGGCACGCUGGUUCAUGUUGGACAAGACCAAGCACCAGCUGCGCUACUACGGCCACCGUGUGGACACUGAGUGCAAGGGUGUCAUGGACCUGAGGAAUACACCAACCUUUGUUGCUGUCCUCACCGACAUCAACUCAGAGCGCCACUACUACGCUGCUUGACCUUCUGGGAGCUGGUGGAGCCUUCACAGCAGGAAACAAUGGGUGCUCAGGAUGCCACAGAAAGGGAGGAAGAGGAGGAUGAGGGAGGCCAGACGUACCUGUCGCCCACAGAGCCUGCCCCAUAUGCCCAGAUGUUUGCCCCAAAGACGCUGGUGCUGGUGUAGCGACUUGACCACACAGGUGUUCAGGAACGGCCUCUGCCUCAUCUAUGCCAUCCACAUGGAGGGCCUGAAUGUGUUCCCAGGGAAUGUAAUUAGGAACCUGCUGACAUGCACUGUGCCCCUGGCUGGGGGCUCGCAGAGGACGAUCUCUUUGGGGGCUGGUGAUUGGCAGGUCAUCCAGACUCCACUGGCCGACUCACUGCCCAUCAGCAGCUGCAGCGUGGCUCUGCUCUUCUGCCAGCUGGACAUCACCAAUGUGCUGUCUUUGUCCUGUGUCACCCUCACAGAGCACAAGGUUCUCUUCCUGUCCCCUAGCUACCAGCAGCUAGCUGAUGCCUGCAGGGGCCUCCUAGCAUUGCUGUUUCCUCUCAGAUACAGCUUCACCUAUGUGCCCAUCCUGCCGGCCCAGCUGCUGGAGGUCCUCAGCACACCCAUGCGCUUCAUCAUCGGGGUCAACGCGGCCCUCUAGGCAGAGACCAGGAGCUGCUAGAUGUGAUCGUUGCUGAUCUGGAUGGAGGGACAGUGACCAUCCCUGAGUGUGUGUACAUUCCACCCUUGCUAGAGCCACCGCAGAGUCAGACGCACAGUGUUCUGAGCAUGGUCCUGGACCUGGAGCUGGAGUUGGUUGACCUUGCCCUCCCUCCACCCAUGACGUCCCCCUCCUCCCUGAAGAUGCAGGACAAAGAGCUGCAUGCCAUCUUCCGGUGGCUCUUCGAUCGGCUGCUGCAGGGCUAUCUCUGGUGCCUGCACGUCAUGCGCAUUCACCCGGAGCCUGUCGUCCACUUCCAUAAGGCAGCCUUCCUGGGCCAGUGUGGGCUGGUGGAGGACGCUUUCCUGAUGAAGGUGCUGGAGGGCAUGGCUUUUGCUCUCUUCAUGUUGGAGCGUGGGGUCCCGUACCGCCCCACGGAACUGUUUGAUGAGCUGGUGGCCCACGAGGUGGCAUGCAGGCGGGCGGAUGAGAACCACCCCCAGUGUGUCCUGCGUCACAUCCAGGAACUGGCGGAGCAGCUCUACAAGAACGAGAACCUGUACCCAGACUUGGCGAUGCACAAGGUACAGAGGCGGGUGAGAGCAGCCAUCUGCGAUGGGCACCCCAGCCCUUCCCCUAGCUGGAUGAGGGCACCAUGCAGCGGAUCGUGGACCAGGCUACUGCCAAGAUGCAAGGGGCACACCUAGCCACGAAGGCUGAAGGGAGGACCACAGGGCCCUCAGGGCCCCGCAUGACUGCCAUACUGGAGUGGUGCAGAGGGCUGCAGGUCAACAGCGCUGGCCGGCUGGAGGUUGUGGGCAAUUGCAUCUCCCAUGAGUUUGAGGGGAAGAUGCUUGAGGCCAAGAAGCUGCUCCCAGCCGUGCUGAGGGCCCUGAAGAGGCGAGCUGCCCGCCGCUGCCUCGCCCAGGAGCUGCACCUGUAUGUGCAGCAGAACUCGGCCGUCCUGGAUAACCAGCAGUUUGACUUUGUCAUCCAUAUGAUGAACUGCUGCCUGCAGGACUGCACUUCUCUGGACGAGCAUGACAUC
RNA transcript from Mandrillus leucophaeus (drill), 4853 nucleotides. It is a transcript of the gene named myotubularin-related protein 5-like, with no coding region annotated. The record is from RefSeq and is a predicted model, not a curated record. Lineage: Eukaryota; Metazoa; Chordata; Mammalia; Primates; Cercopithecidae. The transcript has 4 exons.